RNAcentral lists this ribosomal RNA (430 nucleotides) under uncultured bacterium. RNAcentral's name for it is "partial 16S ribosomal RNA". It matches the Rfam family "Bacterial small subunit ribosomal RNA", at positions 29 to 507 of the family's 1533-position model. The record is from RNAcentral.
AACGAACGCUGGCGGCAGGCUUAACACAUGCAAGUCGAGCGCCACGCAAGGGGAGCGGCCGUCGGGUGAGUAACGCGAGGGCACGUACCUUUUGGUUCGGUACCACUCCGGGAACCUGGCGCUAAUACCGGAUUAGCCCUAACGGGAAAAAAUUUAUCGCCGAAAGAUCGCCCCGCGUCCGAUUAGCUAGUUGGGGAGGUAACGGCUCACCAAGGGGACCCUCAGUCGCGGGUCCGAGAGGAUGAUCAGCCACACUGGAACUAGACCACGGCCCAAACACCUACGGAGGGCACCAGGGGGAAUAAUGGAACAAGGGGCAAAAGCUGAUGCAGCCCAGCCGCGUGGGUGAAGAAAUACUUAGGUAUGGAAAGGCUUAUUAGCCGGGAAGAAAAUGACGGUACCCGGGAAAGUAGGCCCGGCUAAAUUCGUG